GGAAUCCACUAGGGGUGCAAACCGCUGAGAGAGAUGUUUUUUAGCAUCUUAACCCUCAUUCACCUGAUCUAGGUAAUACUAGCGAAGGGAAGUGGCCAUCGUCAUUA
RNAcentral lists this non-coding RNA (107 nucleotides) under Halalkalibacterium halodurans. RNAcentral describes it as "Bacillus halodurans TPP sequence". It matches the Rfam family "TPP riboswitch aptamer (THI element)". Rfam says of the family: Vitamin B(1) in its active form thiamin pyrophosphate (TPP) is an essential coenzyme that is synthesised by coupling of pyrimidine and thiazole moieties in bacteria. The previously detected thiamin-regulatory element, thi box was extended, resulting in a new, highly conserved RNA secondary structure, the THI element, which is widely distributed in eubacteria and also occurs in some archaea. Lineage: Bacteria; Bacillati; Bacillota; Bacilli; Caryophanales; Bacillaceae. The record is from RNAcentral. RNAcentral also lists the same sequence under 1 other name.